This 521-nucleotide long non-coding RNA is filed under the name Anser cygnoides (Swan goose). Its description in RNAcentral is "lncRNA (ENSACDG00005006973.1)". The record is from RNAcentral. Lineage: Eukaryota; Metazoa; Chordata; Aves; Anseriformes; Anatidae.
AUGCAGAUCAAGCACACAGCGGACCUUGGUAUUGGAAACGGGACCUUCUUAAAAAAAGAAAAAAAAAAAGAGAAAAAUGUCAAAUUGCUGCUAAGAGAGAAACAAAGCAAGCAGGGCUACACUGUUCACUUUCCAUCAGGAAUACCUCUGGAAGACUGGCAAAAAGGAAGCGGAGAUGACCACGCUGUCAGCUCUGCUGUAAGAGUUACCAGUCUUAACGAUCACCACACCUUGAUUUUUCCUGGACCAAUAGAAAGAAGUGACCGUCUUUUUCACUGCUUCGGGAGCAAAUGGAUAACAUUUUGAAAGACUGUAGCAUUAGACUCAUCUGGGGCAUGAGCUGUUGGCUACAAUGAAAGACACUACAAGUUUCUUAGGCUGUGGUUGGAAAAGUCUUUGAGCAUCUAAUAGCAAGUAAGGUAAGUGGUUAUUUUUCUGCUUUUUUAAAAAAAACUUGUAUUUGAAAGAAAAAUGCUAUUCAAUAUUAUAUUAUACUUACCUUAUUUUAUUUUUACCUUAUU